AAACCAGCACCUCAAGUGGUCAGGAUGAUUAUUGGGCCUAAAGCAUCCGUAGCCGGCUCUGUAAGUUUUCGGUUAAAUCUGUACGCUUAACGUACAGGCUGCUCGGAAUACUGCAGAGCUAGGGAGUGGGAGAGGUAGACGGUACUCGGGAGGAAGUGGUAAAAUGCUUUGAUCUCUCGAUGACCACCUGUGGCGAAGGCGGUCUACCAGAACACGUCCGACGGUGAGGGAUGAAAGCUGGGGGAGCAAACCGGAUUAGAAACCCCAGUAGUCC
RNAcentral lists this ribosomal RNA (274 nucleotides) under uncultured bacterium. Its description in RNAcentral is "partial 16S ribosomal RNA". It matches the Rfam family "Archaeal small subunit ribosomal RNA", at positions 473 to 747 of the family's 1478-position model. The record is from RNAcentral.